Molecule: ribosomal RNA, 768 nt
Filed under: uncultured archaeon
Lineage: Archaea
Description: bacterial SSU rRNA
Rfam family: Archaeal small subunit ribosomal RNA
Source: RNAcentral
UAGUUGAGCGUCUCUAAGCCAUGAUGGAGACGCGGCGCACAGCUCAGUAACACGUGGCUAACCUGCCCUUGGGACAGGGAUAACCCCGGGAAACUGGGGCUAAUACUUGAUAGGUGAGAACUUCUGGAAUGAAUUCUCGCUGAAAGGGCGUCUAGAUCAUGCUUUUAGGCGUCGCCCAAGGAGGGGGCCGCGGCCGAUCAGGUUGUUGGUGAGGUAACGGCUCACCAAGCCUUUAACCGGUACGGGCCGUGAGAGCGGUAGCCCGGAGAUGGGUACUGAGACAAGGGCCCAGGCCCUACGGGGCGCAGCAGUCGCGAAAACUCACCAAUUCACGAAAGUGUGAGUGGGCCAUCCCGAGUGCCGUCCGCUGAGGAUGGCUUUUCCUUAGUGUACAAAGCUGGGGGAAUAAGGAGAGGGCAAGUCUGGUGUCAGCCGCCGCGGUAAUACCAGCUCUCCGAGUGGUGGGGAUGUUUAUUGGGCCUAAAGCAUUCGUAGCCUGCUGGGCAAGUCCUCCGUUAAAUCCAACGAUUCAAUCGUUGGGCCGCGGGGGAUACUGUUCGGCUAGGGGGCGGAAGAGGUCGACGGUAUUCUCGGGGUAGGGGUGAAAUCCUAUAAUCCCGGGAGGACCACCAGUGGCGAAGGCUGUCGGCUAGAACGCGCCCGACGGUGAGGGAUGAAAGCUGGGGGAGCGAACCGGAUUAGAUACCCGGGUAGUCCCAGCUGUAAACGAUGCAGGCUAGGUGUUGGCGCGGCUACGUGCCGCUCCAG